RNAcentral lists this ribosomal RNA (376 nucleotides) under uncultured bacterium. Its description in RNAcentral is "bacterial SSU rRNA". It matches the Rfam family "Bacterial small subunit ribosomal RNA", at positions 524 to 898 of the family's 1533-position model. The record is from RNAcentral.
UACGUAGGUGGCAAGCGUUGUCCGGAGUUACUGGGUGUAAAGGGCGUGUAGGCGGGAAGAUAAGUCAGAUGUGAAAUUCCAUGGCUCAACUGUGGCGCUGCAUCUGAAACUAUUUUUCUUGAGUGAUGGAGAGGAAAGUGGAAUUCCUAGUGUAGCGGUGAAAUGCGUAGAUAUUAGGAGGAACACCAGUGGCGAAGGCGACUUUCUGGACAUUAACUGACGCUGAGGCGCGAAAGCGUGGGGAGCAAACAGGAUUAGAUACCCUGGUAGUCCACGCUGUAAACGAUGGAUACUAGGUGUAGGAGGUAUCGACCCCUCCUGUGCCGCAGUUAACACAAUAAGUAUCCCACCUGGGGAGUACGGCCGCAAGGUUGAA